Molecule: non-coding RNA, 72 nt
Organism: Phrynosoma platyrhinos (Desert horned lizard)
Lineage: Eukaryota; Metazoa; Chordata; Lepidosauria; Squamata; Phrynosomatidae
Source: the annotation of a GenBank genome assembly
GGAAGCGUGGCAUAGUGGUUCGAGUGUUGGACUACGACUCUGGAGACCAGGGUUUGAUUCCCAGCCCAACCA